AUGGUUGUGGAGAUCUGA
RNAcentral lists this small nuclear RNA (18 nucleotides) under Arabidopsis thaliana (thale cress). RNAcentral describes it as "snRNA_14610". The record is from RNAcentral. Lineage: Eukaryota; Viridiplantae; Streptophyta; Magnoliopsida; Brassicales; Brassicaceae.